UAGGGAAUCUUCGGCAAUGGGGGCAACCCUGACCGAGCAACGCCGCGUGAGUGAAGAAGGUUUUCGGAUCGUAAAGCUCUGUUGUAAGUCAAGAACGAGUGUGAGAGUGGAAAGUUCACACUGUGACGGUAGCUUACCAGAAAGGGACGGCUAACUACGUGCCAGCAGCCGCGGUAAUACGUAGGUCCCGAGCGUUGUCCGGAUUUAUUGGGCGUAAAGCGAGCGCAGGCGGUUUGAUAAGUCUGAAGUUAAAGGCUGUGGCUCAACCAUAGUUCGCUCUGGAAACUGUUUAACUUGAGUGCAAGAGGGGAGAGUGGAAUUCCAUGUGUAGCGGUGAAAUGCGUAGAUAUAUGGAGGAACACCGGUGGCGAAAGCGGCUCUCUGGCUUGUAACUGACGCUGAGGCUCGAAAGCGUGGGGAGCAAACAGGAUUAGAUACCCUGGUAGUCCACGCCGUAAACGAUGAGUGCUAGGUGUUAGACCCUUUCCGGGGUUUAGUGCCGCAGCUAACGCAUUAAGCACUCCGCCUGGGGAGUACGACCGCAAGGUUG
Molecule: ribosomal RNA, 550 nt
Filed under: uncultured bacterium
Lineage: Bacteria
Description: bacterial SSU rRNA
Rfam family: Bacterial small subunit ribosomal RNA
Source: RNAcentral